AAAAGUCGUAACAAGGUUUCCGUAGGUGAACCUGCGGAAGGAUCAUUACGAAAUUCGGCGCGCUUCGGCGCUGCCUUAUUCACCCACCCUUUGUCUACGUGUACCUCUAUAGCUUCCUCGGCGGGCUCGCCCGCCGCCAGGAACCCACGAAACCCCUUGCAUUAUACACGAAAACUUCUGAUAACAAACCUAAAUUAUCACAACUUUCAACAAUGGAUCUCUUGGUUCUGG
RNAcentral lists this unclassified non-coding RNA (231 nucleotides) under Periconia prolifica. RNAcentral's name for it is "partial internal transcribed spacer region". The stretch from base 1 to 48 matches the Rfam family "Eukaryotic small subunit ribosomal RNA", at positions 1784 to 1831 of the family's 1831-position model. Lineage: Eukaryota; Fungi; Ascomycota; Dothideomycetes; Pleosporales; Periconiaceae. The record is from RNAcentral.